RNAcentral lists this long non-coding RNA (694 nucleotides) under Vulpes vulpes (red fox). RNAcentral describes it as "lncRNA (ENSVVUG00000028217.1)". Lineage: Eukaryota; Metazoa; Chordata; Mammalia; Carnivora; Canidae. The record is from RNAcentral.
CGGCACCUUCUGGGAGCUUUUCUUCUCUGUUAACUCCUUCCCGGAGCUGCCUGCAAUCAAAGACCACCAUCUUGAACAGCGAAGAUGAGGAGCAGAGGCCUGGAAGUGGUUUACAAACAGAUGACUAUGGAUGCCCCACAUGUGCUGCUUCAUCUGACUGUUGUGUCAGAGGAAAGAAUGCCACUAUCCUGUCUGAAAAUUCAGCCCAAAGGCUUUCUCUGUACAUCAAAAUAGUUUGCUUCUCUUCCUUCCCUGGCGUGUUUGACCAAGGCCCCAGAGAAUGUGGGCCAAGGGCAUCCCUCCAAUGAGGAAGGAAGCAUUUGUUUUCAUCAUCCACUAUUCCAGCAAAGAAGCAGUUGUAAGCCUCUCUCUGGGGAGAACCCGGCUGCAAAAUCUUUUGUUGAACGAAGCACCUUUCACGUGAAGAAACGGCGGCAAGAUAAAAUGACACAUUGCUAAUGAUGUAUUUUAUGGACUGCCAUCUGUCUCCGGAAAGGUCAGAGAAAAAUGGCAGCUUGGUUGCAGGCGAUUGGGUGGUGGUGGUGGUUGGGGGGACAAAUGGUUCUCGUCGGAACAUGACAAGGAGCCUCGGUGACAUCAUAUAAAUGCCCUAAUUGGGAAGUGGUCAAUCGAGCGGACCUGACUUCUGAAUUUGAUGUGUCAAUAAACAAGCUCAAGGUGAGAUGCUGGAUCA